UUACGUAUCCAACGUAUCAAACCAAAUUGUGGACAUGUGUCCCGUCUGGUGAGGGUUUCUGCGAGUAUUUCUUGGCAUGGUUCGCAACUUCAGCUUUCGAGUUGAUUUUGUGAAGUUAGAAAUCUCGGUCCUGGUGAGCACAACUUCGGUUGUUGUUCGCCAGCUCAUCGGAUGUGGUUAUUUUUCUAUGCCAACCAAUCUUAUUAACCCCUUGUAAACAAAAUUGAGCUAAACAUACACUGGCUUCUUGUCAGUGGAUAAACCGAAACUUAAGAA
Molecule: unclassified non-coding RNA, 276 nt
Filed under: soil metagenome
Description: partial internal transcribed spacer 1
Source: RNAcentral